UACGUAGGGUGCAAGCGUUGUCCGGAAUUAUUGGGCGUAAAGAGCUCGUAGGCGGUCUGUCGCGUCGGCUGUGAAAACUCGGGGCUCAACUCCGAGCUUGCAGUCGAUACGGGCAGGCUAGAGUUCGGCAGGGGAGACUGGAAUUCCUGGUGUAGCGGUGAAAUGCGCAGAUAUCAGGAGGAACACCGGUGGCGAAGGCGGGUCUCUGGGCCGUAACUGACGCUGAGGAGCGAAAGCGUGGGGAGCGAACAGG
RNAcentral lists this ribosomal RNA (253 nucleotides) under uncultured bacterium. RNAcentral's name for it is "partial 16S ribosomal RNA". It matches the Rfam family "Bacterial small subunit ribosomal RNA", at positions 524 to 776 of the family's 1533-position model. The record is from RNAcentral.